UGGGGAAUAUUGGACAAUGGGCGCAAGCCUGAUCCAGCCAUGCCGCGUGAGUGAUGAAGGCCCUAGGGUUGUAAAGCUCUUUCACCGGUGAAGAUAAUGACGGUAACCGGAGAAGAAGCCCCGGCUAACUUCGUGCCAGCAGCCGCGGUAAUACGAAGGGGGCUAGCGUUGUUCGGAUUUACUGGGCGUAAAGCGCACGUAGGCGGACUUUUAAGUCAGGGGUGAAAUCCCGGGGCUCAACCCCGGAACUGCCUUUGAUACUGGAAGUCUUGAGUAUGGGAGAGGUGAGUGGAAUUCCGAGUUUAGAGGUGAAAUUCGUAGAUAUUCGGAGGAACACCAGUGGCGAAGGCGGCUCACUGGACCAUUACUGACGCUGAGGUGCGAAAGCGUGGGGAGCAAACAGG
Molecule: ribosomal RNA, 404 nt
Filed under: Actinomycetes bacterium
Lineage: Bacteria; Bacillati; Actinomycetota; Actinomycetes
Description: Actinobacteria bacterium partial 16S ribosomal RNA
Rfam family: Bacterial small subunit ribosomal RNA
Source: RNAcentral